RNAcentral lists this long non-coding RNA (559 nucleotides) under Papio anubis (olive baboon). RNAcentral describes it as "lncRNA (ENSPANG00000048044.1)". The record is from RNAcentral. Lineage: Eukaryota; Metazoa; Chordata; Mammalia; Primates; Cercopithecidae.
AUGCUCCUCUCCUCUGGUGCCAUGCAGGUUUCCCACUGGCCAAGUCCAACCAGCAGCCAUGGGACCCAGAAGCUCAGUGAUAGAGUCCAUAUAGGUUGGUCUCCACCAGCAAAGAAUAGAGCAGAGAAAGGAGUUUCGCCCUUGUCGCCCAGGCUGGAGUGCAAUGGCACAAUCUCAGCUCACCAAACCUCUGCCUUCCGGGUUCAAGUGAUUCUCCCGCCUCAGCCUCCCAAGUAGCUGGGAUUACAGUAGCUGAAGAAGAUAGAAUUUCCUGUUUCCUGCGUCAGUGCUGUCAAGAGUUGGGCACAUGUGAUCCAAGCUUGGCUAUUCAGAUGAGCAGUCUUGCCACCUUGAUUCUUGGAUAAACAACCUGAUGACCGAGUGAAAGACUAGACAUCACAUAACUCAGCUGCAAGUGCUGCCCAGUAUGUUCCUGGAUCUUAGCCUUCUCGACUUAGUGUCUUCAACCUUCCCUUGCUCUCAGUACCUGUAAGUGUGACCUUAUUUGGAAAUAAGGUCUUUGCAGAAAAUCAAAUUAAGAUAAGGUUAUACUGAAUUA